RNAcentral lists this long non-coding RNA (5350 nucleotides) under Olea europaea (common olive). Its description in RNAcentral is "long non-coding RNA (OEUR_LNC004528)". Lineage: Eukaryota; Viridiplantae; Streptophyta; Magnoliopsida; Lamiales; Oleaceae. The record is from RNAcentral.
UUUUAGGAACCUUUGUUCCAUUAUAAAAGCCUAAGGAGCUUAAAAGGGUCAAGACAACACCAUCAAAAGCCCUCAACAGAAUAGAAAAUCCUACAGCUGAGAUGGCAAAAUAUCACUCUUCUUACAUGGCCAAUGCCCUCGCAAAACAUUCAACUAUUUAUUUUGAUCAGAGAACCGAAUAAUAAACUUAAAAGAACUAGAGCAUCGAUGAUCUGAGAAUGGUGAAUAAAGAAAUUCAUUAUCACCGAAUUACAAGCAUCUGUGCCAAUAUAAUCAAUUCCAGUUGUAUAAAGAAACUCAGUAUCACUGAAUUUCGAGAAGCUGUGCCAAUAAAAUCAAUUCCAUUCGGCUAGUGACCACGAAAAGUGAUAAACACCAUCUCAGUCAGAGAGAGAAAUUGGAGCAACAUCAAUUCCUGCGGUCAGGCAUCUAAAAUUCAUUUAUGCUUUUCUAGAAAUAUAUACUGUCCUGAAAAUUUACUUCAGUCUCUAGACAAUUCAGGGCUUAUUUGUUUGUAAAUAAGAAAUUCUGUGAGUGGCAUUCAAGGGUUCUCGCACGAAUCAAGAAAUCUCUCAAAAUAAUGAGAUGAAGAAUGGAAAGAAAAGCUACGAGAAAAAUAUUUAUAGAAGUUUAUUAAGUGCUUAUUAAAUAACAAGACGAUAGGGUGACUCCCAAGAAGCAGAGCGAAUCUGUAUUUACUACUGAACAUGUCAAGUUGGAACUCAAAUAAGAAACCAAAAAGAUGGCAGGUGAAGUGCCAAUCAUACCAAUUAUUACUAGAUGCCAAGUUUUAGCACCAAAUCAUGUAUCGCCCUGAAUAAGGAAGAAAUGAACACUUCCAUUGAGCAAAAACAAUAAUGUUAUUUACAGUUACUUACUACUGCAGUCGCCCAACGUGGCAUGCAUGUGUCAAUUAGUGAUUCGAUAUAUGUGGCAAGAAAAAAUUAUCACAUUAAUAUAUUAAAUCACGAACCGUCAUGUAGGAUGUCAUGUAAGGCGACUAUCACAGUGAGCGACUAUAAAAAGCAUUACUCUAAACAAAACGGCCCUUAUCGCAAAUGUUACUAGAAGUUUACAUGUUACACAACUAUAGAAUUGUCCAUCGUCUGUUAAUUUUGAACAAACAUUACAGUAAACUUAUGAUAAGGGAAAGGCAACAUCAUAUUCAAGAAAUAUAGCAAGAACUAAAUAACUGUAGAACCUAAUCUUGUGGACAGAAGCCACACUAACAUUACAAUAGUAUGCAUAUGAUAUGAGCAUAAUGUGGAAGAUUAUUAUAAAAUAACAAAUGUGAACACUUUAAGCUUUUAGAUUAUGUAGUUUUAAGACAGAAAAAGGGCAAGUUAAAGAGCGGACUCAAUAUCCUCUCUUCUAGUCUCAUCACUACCAGUCACGGAAAUUGUGACAUGUGUCAUGCUUAUGAUAAAUACUAAAUUUGGCUCGUGGGCAUGGGAUAAAAUACUAACUGUAAACAAAUAAAUGGGUCUCCCCUCUAACAACUUAAUUUUUUUACUUCCUGAUUAAUUGCACAAUAUCCAGGAAUAAUUAAGAUGCUGAUAAAUUAGCAAAUAAUAUAAAUAUUAAAAUGAACCAGACUUAUGAGAAGGUCAACAUCAACAAGGUGCACGUAUGUAUACAUAUAAAAUUUAUCCCCCAAAAAAUGUGACAUGCGGAAGUUAUGGCCUUCAAACUAGUGUCCAAAGCCUAUACCUACCUUUACAUGUAAACAAUAUAGGUUGAAAUUACAUUUAGAAAAGCAAGGUAACAAAACACAAUCUUCUAAUCAAAAUUACUCAACAAGUAAAUCUGAUGAUAGUUAUACCUAACUUAUCCAAUUGGAUCAAUCCUUUUUGCCCAAGCCUUCGAAGUCUCGAGAUAUAGCAAUCUGAAGUACCUCCCUUCGUAACAUGUGUGUUAGGUUUUAAUGUAAUUGGCGAUUUUGUGAACAAAAAGGACCAAAUUGAGAAUGUAUAAAAGUCAAGGAAUUAGGUACAAUUUUGUAUAAAUGUGUUAGGUGGGUUAGAGUUCAAGUUCAAGCUCGGAAUAAGGGAAGAAGAGUUGCCACAAUUUUGCUCGCCUCUCGCCAACACACUGCUCGAGUGACAAAAACAGGAUGAACUUCUACUGUUGUGUUAGGUGUAGCUAUCCCCACGGACAUUUCACUUUGGACUAAGAAUGAAUUAGCUAAGUACAACUGGAACAGUAAAGGACGUCAAGCACUAUUUAUGGCCGUGUCUCCCGAGGAGUUUAGGAGAGUGUCAAUGUGUGAGAUUGCUAAAGAGGUUUGGGACAUUUUGGAGACCACAAACAAGGGAGCCAAUCGCUAAAAACUCCAAGCAACAGAUGUGACUUCUAGGUUUGAAGAAAUUAAAUGAAGGAAGAUGAAUCCUUUGAUGAGUUUUAUGCUAACUUGAAUAACAUAGUAAACUUUAACUUAAACCUAGUUGAAAAGUUACAUGAAUCCAAGAUUGUUCGAAAAGUCCUUAGAUACUUACCGGAGAGGUUUAGACCUAAAGUCAUGGCCAUUGAAGAGGAUAAGAACUGAGAUGCAUUUAAGAUAGAAGAACUAGUAGUAUCCUUUCAAAUCUAUGAACUCACCAUAUUACAGCCAAAGAAAAACAAGUCCAUUGCUUAAACACCUUGAAGGAAGAGGAGCCCGAGACAACUGAUACUGAGUCACUUAGGGAUGAGGACAUGGCUUACCCUAAUUUGCGAUUUUCGAGAAUUUUAAUAGGACCAUACUACCCAAAACGUCUAUUAUAUAAAUACCUACCUCACUUCACGAAGACCAAGGAUUAAGCAUUGUGAGAAAACUCAUACAUAAAUUCCAUAUCAUUCAAUCCAUUGAUCUUUGAGUGUUGAAAUUGAAAAAAAAUCAAAAUCCAUAAAUCAAACAUCAAAAAUCCAUAUUUCUAGAGUAUAUGUCAAAUCUUGAAGAUCAUGAAAGGUAAUUGGAGUUCCAAUUGUCGGAGAACAAGGAGUUCUCAGGAAUCCACGGAAGAUAGACGAAAUCAGAAAGUCGGGAGAUGGUGUAGGAGUACGCAAUCCAGGAAGGCUUUGGAAAUUACAGUCAGGGAGUCAGAAAAUACUUGUAUUGGUCGAGUCUAAUAAUACUGUAAAUUGAUUUAUUUAUACUGAAAUCAUACUGGUUUGGGCAAGGAGUUUUUAAUGCCUGCGAAGGGUUAUCUCCAUCAUCAAAUAUCCUAUGUUAUUUAUUUUCCAGCAAUUUAUUAUACCACGACAAUUCAACAUAAGGUAGAUUCCAUGUGAAUUCAUCUAGACUAAUUAAUAACCGUGACUUGUUGCAUUUAUUAAUUAAUUUGUUUAAAUUCCGCAUAAACACCUAUUCACCACCCUCUACGUGUUAGUUGGGUCCAACUACAUAAUUUUCAAUGUGUUAGCUAACCAAUCUACCACCUUAUCUUAACUUCCAGUUUACCAAAAAGUUGAAGAAUUUCCUCAAUUGAUUAUUAAACUUCCCAAGGUCCAUCCUCCCCACUUUGAGGUAGACUCACUGCUGCCUUUGAAUAUAUUUCAGCCCAAAUUUUACCACAUCCCUUCUGCCAGCAUAAUUUCAAUCCAAUUGCUAGAGCUUUUAACUCUGCUGCUAAGAUGGAACACUCACCAAAAGUCAUAAAAACGCCAAAUAACAUCUCCGAGCAGAUCUCAGAACACCCCCACCAGCAGCUAGCCCAUUACCUUUCAGAGUCCCAUUAGUGUUAAGUUUAAAACCAAUCUUCAUCAGGUUUUAGGCUAAUAGAAUAAAGUUUACCAUUUAUUAGGUACAGGGUUAAUUCUUGAUUUCUUACUUCUACCUUUAGUAUCUGAUAUAAAACCAGCUCUACACAUAUUUUCCAACAUAUAAUCAAUUCUUUUCAUUACCCUCACUCAACUCAUCUUCAUAUCUUCACGUUUAGCCGACAACCCCAAGGGAACAAGAAGAUAAGAAGGGGGCAAGACAAUAAGAACAUUACCUGGCUCCUAGGACUUGGCAAGCAAAAAUCAAUGCUGGAAUUUCAAUUUAGGAUACACAAAUGACUUUGGAGUUACAUUAAAUUUUCCAGUGUAAAGGUUCCACAGUUUAGAGGUAGAUAUACCAUUAAGGAAAAGAAUUUAAAACUUACCAGAGGCUUUCACCCACAAAAUGCCCAAUGUACAUUUACUUUUUUAUAUGCUCUGAUGAGGAUGAAUGAUGUGCUAGAUGAAGUACAAUGUAAGCAGAACUUAGAGAAAUAUAAGCUUAUGAAUUCAUAUAGAGAUGCCAAAUCAUAAUGCUAGCUAGGAUGUUGAAGGAGACUCAGUCAAGCUGAUGUAGCCUAGAAAAAAUAGACAAUGUCUAAAGCCCCUUCUAGAAUUAGAAACUCUAUUAGACAGAGUGACUCAACAAAUAUUAAUAUUUCCUUUUUAGAUUUAUAUUUCCAUCCAGAUUUAGACGGGAUAUAAUUUUAUUUUAGAAAUGAAGGACACCCACAUAAUAGUCCAUAUAAUGCAUUGGAGACUAACUUUAGACUUGAAGUCUAUUUAUUAGAUAUCAACAUCACAUAGAAUGAAAGUCUUCCAAUUUUCAUGCUACCUAAAUAGCAAUCUAUAAAUAAAAUGGAGAUCCUUUUAGUGUAUCUAAAAAAGGCAAAGUUUCUAUAUUUAGCUGUUUUAAAAGUCUAUAGCAAAACCACUUGAUUACAGAGAUUCAAGCAGGGAAAACACCAAGAGCUUAAAACAGAGACAAGUUGUUGCAUCACAAAUUAUAAUAAAGUUAAUUAAAUCGAAUCACGUUUAUGGAAAUAGGUUCUAUAAGGUUGCAGGAACACAAAAACUCCAAAUAAAAAUCAAACUACUAAUGACAAACCUUGCAUUAAUAAACACGAUAGAAGGUACUAGUUUGUUACGAACAUAGAAGUAAAAUAAGAUAGUUCAUCUAUGAAGAACAUAAUAAUAAAAAGCACAAAAUAGACAAUCUUUAGAGUGGAAUUUGAAAACAUUGACAAUAACGGUUUUAAUAUUGUGUUUUCCCCUUAAAUACAAUUUCGAGCACGUUUAAAUCAAUGCAUCCUCAUAUGGAAGAUUAAAACUCGAAACUGCAGCCUGAGUUAGUUUAUCACAUAUUUGGUAGGUGGAGUGGGAGUAUAAAGAAACAAACAAAGGAUGGAAACUGAAAUUUACAUUCCUCCAGUCGUAGAUGACCUGGUUCCAUUACUCGAUCUUCGAUCUGAUGCUUGUUGCCUAGCAAGUUGUUCUAACCUUGAAUGUUGUGCAAAGCAUCCUCAGAGUUGUCUUGGAGCCUGUUUGCUAGGGUUUUUAAAAAGUCAAAACUCGCUUUUAAGACUAAAAAGCUACUUUUAGAUUAUUUUUA